This 1382-nucleotide ribosomal RNA is filed under the name Staphylococcus aureus 22846. Its description in RNAcentral is "bacterial SSU rRNA". It matches the Rfam family "Bacterial small subunit ribosomal RNA", at positions 8 to 1371 of the family's 1533-position model. The record is from RNAcentral. RNAcentral also lists the same sequence under 1 other name. Lineage: Bacteria; Bacillati; Bacillota; Bacilli; Caryophanales; Staphylococcaceae.
AGAGUUUGAUCCUGGCUCAGGAUGAACGCUGGCGGCGUGCCUAAUACAUGCAAGUCGAGCGAACGGACGAGAAGCUUGCUUCUCUGAUGUUAGCGGCGGACGGGGGAGUAACACGUGGAUAACCUACCUAUAAGACUGGGAUAACUUCGGGAAACCGGAGCUAAUACCGGAUAAUAUUUUGAACCGCAUGGUUCAAAAGUGAAAGACGGUCUUGCUGUCACUUAUAGAUGGAUCCGCGCUGCAUUAGCUAGUUGGUAAGGUAACGGCUUACCAAGGCAACGAUGCAUAGCCGACCUGAGAGGGUGAUCGGCCACACUGGAACUGAGACACGGUCCAGACUCCUACGGGAGGCAGCAGUAGGGAAUCUUCCGCAAUGGGCGAAAGCCUGACGGAGCAACGCCGCGUGAGUGAUGAAGGUCUUCGGAUCGUAAAACUCUGUUAUUAGGGAAGAACAUAUGUGUAAGUAACUGUGCACAUCUUGACGGUACCUAAUCAGAAAGCCACGGCUAACUACGUGCCAGCAGCCGCGGUAAUACGUAGGUGGCAAGCGUUAUCCGGAAUUAUUGGGCGUAAAGCGCGCGUAGGCGGUUUUUUAAGUCUGAUGUGAAAGCCCACGGCUCAACCGUGGAGGGUCAUUGGAAACUGGAAAACUUGAGUGCAGAAGAGGAAAGUGGAAUUCCAUGUGUAGCGGUGAAAUGCGCAGAGAUAUGGAGGAACACCAGUGGCGAAGGCGACUUUCUGGUCUGUAACUGACGCUGAUGUGCGAAAGCGUGGGGAUCAAACAGGAUUAGAUACCCUGGUAGUCCACGCCGUAAACGAUGAGUGCUAAGUGUUAGGGGGUUUCCGCCCCUUAGUGCUGCAGCUAACGCAUUAAGCACUCCGCCUGGGGAGUACGACCGCAAGGUUGAAACUCAAAGGAAUUGACGGGGACCCGCACAAGCGGUGGAGCAUGUGGUUUAAUUCGAAGCAACGCGAAGAACCUUACCAAAUCUUGACAUCCUUUGACAACUCUAGAGAUAGAGCCUUCCCCUUCGGGGGACAAAGUGACAGGUGGUGCAUGGUUGUCGUCAGCUCGUGUCGUGAGAUGUUGGGUUAAGUCCCGCAACGAGCGCAACCCUUAAGCUUAGUUGCCAUCAUUAAGUUGGGCACUCUAAGUUGACUGCCGGUGACAAACCGGAGGAAGGUGGGGAUGACGUCAAAUCAUCAUGCCCCUUAUGAUUUGGGCUACACACGUGCUACAAUGGACAAUACAAAGGGCAGCGAAACCGCGAGGUCAAGCAAAUCCCAUAAAGUUGUUCUCAGUUCGGAUUGUAGUCUGCAACUCGACUACAUGAAGCUGGAAUCGCUAGUAAUCGUAGAUCAGCAUGCUACGGUGAAUACGU